UACGAAGGGGGCUAGCGUUGCUCGGAAUUACUGGGCGUAAAGGGCGCGUAGGCGGGACGACAAGUCGGGGGUGAAAGCCCGGGGCUCAACCUCGGAAUUGCCUUCGAAACUGUCGACCUAGAGUACGGGAGAGGUGUGUGGAACUCCGAGUGUAGAGGUGAAAUUCGUAGAUAUUCGGAAGAACACCAGUGGCGAAGGCGACACACUGGCCCGUUACUGACGCUGAGGCGCGAAAGCGUGGGGAGCAAACAGG
This 253-nucleotide ribosomal RNA is filed under the name uncultured bacterium. RNAcentral's name for it is "partial 16S ribosomal RNA". It matches the Rfam family "Bacterial small subunit ribosomal RNA", at positions 524 to 776 of the family's 1533-position model. The record is from RNAcentral.